GACGAACGCUGGCGGCGCGCUUAACACAUGCAAGUCGAGCGGUAAGGCUCCUUCGGGAGUACACGAGCGGCGAACGGGUGCGUAACACGUGAGUAAUCUGCCCUUCACUUCGGGAUAACCACCGGAAACGGUGGCUAAUACCGAAUACGACCAGUCUUCGCAUGAGGUGCUGGUGGAAAGUCUUUUCGGUGAAGGAUGUGCUCGCGGCCUAUCAGCUUGUUGGUGGGGUAAUGGCCUACCAAGGCUUCGACGGGUAGCCGGCAUGAGAGGGUGACCGGCCACACUGGGACUGAGACACGGCCCAGACUCCUACGGGAGGCAGCAGUGGGGAAUAUUGGACAAUGGGCGAAAGCCUGAUCCAGCAACGCCGCGUGAGGGAUGACGGCCUUCGGGUUGUAAACCUCUUGCAGUACCGACGAAGCGCCCUGUCGGGUGGUGACGGUAGGUACAGAAGAAGGACCGGCCAACUACGUG
Molecule: ribosomal RNA, 474 nt
Filed under: uncultured bacterium
Lineage: Bacteria
Description: partial 16S ribosomal RNA
Rfam family: Bacterial small subunit ribosomal RNA
Source: RNAcentral